This is a long non-coding RNA of Paramacrobiotus metropolitanus, 260 nucleotides long. RefSeq lists it as uncharacterized. The transcript is spliced from 3 exons. The record is from RefSeq and is a predicted model, not a curated record. NCBI's taxonomy places the organism in Eukaryota, Metazoa, Tardigrada, Eutardigrada, Parachela, Macrobiotidae.
GAGCCAUGUCAACGGAAAGCGGAGUCGCAUUCGCCACAUUACUAAAGAUGAUUUCAUUUAUUUGACUUGCCACCAGUCGUUAUUGUAUCCUGAACUUCGCGACGUAUGGCGGACAGCAGGAAUGAGCGAGACCGCAUUGCGCAAGUGUAUUUGAGCAGCUCGCGAACGGAGAGUUUUGGCUGGCCUGAUGACAGCUGCCUUCAACGGCUGGAAGGAUUAACACGUGAAAUCCUACGCCAAGAAAGACAAUAUUUUAGGAC